This 465-nucleotide ribosomal RNA is filed under the name uncultured bacterium. RNAcentral's name for it is "partial 16S ribosomal RNA". It matches the Rfam family "Bacterial small subunit ribosomal RNA", at positions 339 to 795 of the family's 1533-position model. The record is from RNAcentral.
CUACGGGAGGCAGCAGUGGGGAAUAUUGCGCAAUGGGGGAAACCCUGACGCAGCGACGCCGUGUGAGUGAUGAAGGCUUUCGGGUCGUAAAGCUCUGUCGGAUGGAAAGAAUAAAGGCUGUGUGAAUAAUGCAGCCUGAUGACGGUACCAUCGAAGGAAGCACCGGCUAACUCCGUGCCAGCAGCCGCGGUAAUACGGAGGGUGCAAGCGUUGUUCGGAAUUAUUGGGCGUAAAGAACGUGUAGGCGGAUCUGUAUGUCAGAUGUGAAAUCCCUCGGCUCAACUGAGGAAGUGCAUCUGAAACUGCAGGUCUUGAGUACGAGAGAGGAGAGUGGAAUUCCCAGUGUAGAGGUGAAAUUCAUAGAUAUUGGGAAGAACACCGGCGGCGAAAGCGGCUCUCUGGCUCGAUACUGACGCUGAGACGUGAAAGCGUGGGGAGCAAACAGGAUUAGAUACCCCCGUAGUC